CUAGCACCCGGGCCAGAGGCCAUGUGGAAGGCACGCUCGGGUUUCUCUUCAACUCGUACAAAUCUUUCGCCUUUUACUAAAGAUUUCCGUGGAGGGGAACACCCCCGAGUUUACGGUAUUUUUGGAAGCUCUGCUUCGGCGGAGCAUCACCUGUCUGUCUAAAGUCAAGUUUGUUCCCUGUUCUCCUCUCUGUUCCUCUGGUUAGGUCCUCUCUGUUCCUCUGGCUUGUUCCGCCGUGCGUGGUGGUGGUUCCCCAAGGCAUGGCGAUGAGCUCCAGCAAGGACUAUUUGAAAUGUGGGGAGGCUGUUCAAAUAUAUUCAAGUGCACUCCAGCUGACUGUAUCCUUCAUAUCCCUGCAUGGCCCUGGCAAAGGCUUUGAGGUGCAUUGGCAGCCUGCCUGAAAGUUUUUUUUUUUUUUUUUAAACUGAUUUUGUGUGUGUUUGCUUGUUAGUUCAGUGUCCAGAAGCCACGCCUACGCAGUUAAAGUGCCUGCGACAGACAGACAGACAGACACACCGUGAGGGCCGCGCCCGGUGCCGUCCUAGCACCCGGGCCAGAGGCCAUGUGGAAGGCACGCUCGGGUUUCUCUUCAACUCGUACAAAUCUUUCGCCUUUUACUAAAGAUUUCCGUGGAGGGGAACACCCCCGAGUUUACGGUAUUUUUGGAAGCUCUGCUUCGGCGGAGCAUCACCUGUCUGUCUAAAGUCAAGUUUGUUCCCUGUUCUCCUCUCUGUUCCUCUGGCUUGUUCCGCCGUGCGUGGUGGUGGUUCCCCAAGGCAUGGCGAUGAGCUCCAGCAAGGACUAUUUGAAAUGUGGGGAGGCUGUUCAAAUAUAUUCAAGUGCACUCCAGCUGACUGUAUCCUUCAUAUCCCUGCAUGGCCCUGGCAAAGGCUUUGAGGUGCUUGGGGUGCAUUGGCAGCCUGCCUGAAAGUUGGUGGUGCCCCCACCGUCCCUGUGCUUCCCUUGGCCAGGAAGGCCGGCGCCAGCUCGGUCUUGUACAACUCAUACUUACCUGGCAGGGGCGAUACAAUGAUCAAGAAGGUUGUUUGCCCAGGGCGAGGCUCGGCCAUUGCACUCCGGUCGUGCUGACCCCUGCGAAUUCCUCAAAUGUAGGAAUCUCGACUGCACAAUUUCUGGUAGUGGGGAACUGCGUUCGCGCUCUCCCCUGACGUGAUGGUUUAAUGACAGACUAAAGUGCCGGCUUUGACUCGAGCUGACUGUAUCCUUCAUAUCCCUGCAUGGCCCUGGCAAAGGCUUUGAGGUGCAUUGGCAGCCUGCCUGAAAGUUUUUUUUUUUUUUUUUAAACUGAUUUUGUGUGUGUUUGCUUGUUAGUUCAGUGUCCAGAAGCCACGCCUACGCAGUUAAAGUGCCUGCGACAGACAGACAGACAGACACACCGUGAGGGCCGCGCCCGGUGCCGUCCUAGCACCCGGGCCAGAGGCCAUGUGGAAGGCACGCUCGGGUUUCUCUUCAACUCGUACAAAUCUUUCGCCUUUUACUAAAGAUUUCCGUGGAGGGGAACACCCCCGAGUUUACGGUAUUUUUGGAAGCUCUGCUUCGGCGGAGCAUCACCUGUCUGUCUAAAGUCAAGUUUGUUCCCUGUUCUCCUCUCUGUUCCUCUGGUUAGGUCCUCUCUGUUCCUCUGGCUUGUUCCGCCGUGCGUGGUGGUGGUUCCCCAAGGCAUGGCGAUGAGCUCCAGCAAGGACUAUUUGAAAUGUGGGGAGGCUGUUCAAAUAUAU
Clupea harengus (Atlantic herring) is the source of this 1739-nucleotide long non-coding RNA. Lineage: Eukaryota; Metazoa; Chordata; Actinopteri; Clupeiformes; Clupeidae. The record is from Ensembl.